This 395-nucleotide unclassified non-coding RNA is filed under the name soil metagenome. Its description in RNAcentral is "partial contains 5.8S ribosomal RNA, internal transcribed spacer 2, and large subunit ribosomal RNA". The stretch from base 1 to 120 matches the Rfam family "5.8S ribosomal RNA", at positions 35 to 154 of the family's 154-position model. The record is from RNAcentral.
GAUGAAGAACGUAGCGAAAUGCGAUAAGUAAUGUGAAUUGCAGAAUUCAGUGAAUCAUCGAAUCUUUGAACGCACCUUGCGCCUUUUGGUAUUCCGAAAGGCACACCUGUUUGAGCGUCAUGAAUACCUCAAUCUCCAUCUUUUCUUCGGAUUGAUGGGUGACUUGGAUGUUGAGCCCUGCUGGUAUGCUAUAUCAGCUGGCUUUAGACUUAUUAGCCGGCUCUGUACUGGAUCGGUUUGACUCGACGUGAUAAUAUUAUCGUUGAGGAUGCAUGUCUCAUGCAGCCGGAAAGUAUCAAAGCAGCUUCUAGCUUGCCUUUAGUGCACUUUUACAUUUUAGACCUCAGAUCAGGUGGGACUACCCGCUGAACUUAAGCAUAUCAAUAAGCGGAGGA